GCAGGAGUGGCGGAAUUGGUAGACGCGCUGCUUGUAUUAGACAUGUACGGUUCCAGUAUCUUUGAUGUGAGAGUUCAAGUCUCUCCUCCCGUACCA
Molecule: transfer RNA, 96 nt
Filed under: Litorilituus sediminis
Lineage: Bacteria; Pseudomonadati; Pseudomonadota; Gammaproteobacteria; Alteromonadales; Colwelliaceae
Description: tRNA-Thr
Rfam family: tRNA
About the family: Transfer RNA (tRNA) molecules are approximately 80 nucleotides in length. Their secondary structure includes four short double-helical elements and three loops (D, anti-codon, and T loops).
Source: RNAcentral